RNAcentral lists this ribosomal RNA (719 nucleotides) under Bacillus licheniformis. RNAcentral describes it as "bacterial SSU rRNA". It matches the Rfam family "Bacterial small subunit ribosomal RNA", at positions 79 to 781 of the family's 1533-position model. Lineage: Bacteria; Bacillati; Bacillota; Bacilli; Caryophanales; Bacillaceae. The record is from RNAcentral.
CUUGCUCCCUUAGGUCAGCGGCGGACGGGUGAGUAACACGUGGGUAACCUGCCUGUAAGACUGGGAUAACUCCGGGAAACCGGGGCUAAUACCGGAUGCUUGAUUGAACCGCAUGGUUCAAUCAUAAAAGGUGGCUUUUAGCUACCACUUACAGAUGGACCCGCGGCGCAUUAACUAGUUGGUGAGGUAACGGCUCACCAAGGCGACGAUGCGUAGCCGACCUGAGAGGGUGAUCGGCCACACUGGGACUGAAACACGGCCCAGACUCCUACGGGAGGCAGCAGUAGGGAAUCUUCCGCAAUGGACGAAAGUCUGACGGAACAACGCCGCGUGAGUGAUGAAGGUUUUCGGAUCGUAAAACUCUGUUGUUAGGGAAGAACAAGUACCGUUCGAAUAGGGCGGCACCUUGACGGUACCUAACCAGAAAGCCACGGCUAACUACGUGCCAGCAGCCGCGGUAAUACGUAGGUGGCAAGCGUUGUCCGGAAUUAUUGGGCGUAAAGCGCGCGCAGGCGGUUUCUUAAGUCUGAUGUGAAAGCCCCCGGCUCAACCGGGGAGGGUCAUUGGAAACUGGGGAACUUGAGUGCAGAAGAAGAGAGUGGAAUUCCACGUGUAGCGGUGAAAUGCGUAGAGAUGUGGAGGAACACCAGUGGCGAAGGCGACUCUCUGGUCUGUAACUGACGCUGAAGCGCGAAAGCGUGGGGAGCGAACAGGAUUAG